RNAcentral lists this ribosomal RNA (505 nucleotides) under uncultured bacterium. RNAcentral describes it as "bacterial SSU rRNA". It matches the Rfam family "Bacterial small subunit ribosomal RNA", at positions 338 to 838 of the family's 1533-position model. The record is from RNAcentral.
CCUACGGGAGGCAGCAGUGAGGAAUAUUGGACAAUGGGCGCAAGCCUGAUCCAGCCAUGCCGCGUGCAGGAAGACGCAUCUAUGGUGUGUAAACUGCUUUUGUACAGGAAGAAACACUCCCUCGUGAGGGAGCUUGACGGUACUGUAAGAAUAAGGAUCGGCUAACUCCGUGCCAGCAGCCGCGGUAAUACGGAGGAUCCAAGCGUUAUCCGGAAUCAUUGGGUUUAAAGGGUCCGUAGGCGGUUUAAUAAGUCAGUGGUGAAAGCCCAUCGCUCAACGAUGGAACGGCCAUUGAUACUGUUAGACUUGAAUUAUUAGGAAGUAACUAGAAUAUGUAGUGUAGCGGUGAAAUGCUUAGAUAUUACAUGGAAUACCAAUUGCGAAGGCAGGUUACUACUAAUGGAUUGACGCUGAUGAGAAGACGUGGGAGGCGACGAGAGUAGUAUACCUACGUAGUACGACGACCGUAACGAACGUAGGUAGUACUAGUCUGUUGGUAAGGACG